GCGUGCUUAACACAUGCAAGUCGAACGAAGCACUCUAUUUGAUUUUCUUCGGAAAUGAAGAUUUUGUGACUGAGUGGCGGACGGGUGAGUAACGCGUGGGUAACCUGCCUCAUACAGGGGGAUAACAGUUGGAAACGACUGCUAAUACCGCAUAAGCGCACAGGAUUGCAUGAUCCAGUGUGAAAAACUCCGGUGGUAUGAGAUGGACCCGCGUCUGAUUAGCCAGUUGGCAGGGUAACGGCCUACCAAAGCGACGAUCAGUAGCCGACCUGAGAGGGUGACCGGCCACAUUGGGACUGAGACACGGCCCAAACUCCUACGGGAGGCAGCAGUGGGGAAUAUUGCACAAUGGGGGAAACCCUGAUGCAGCGACGCCGCGUGAGCGAAGAAGUAUUUCGGUAUGUAAAGCUCUAUCAGCAGGGAAGAAGAAAUGACGGUACCUGACUAAGAAGCACCGGCUAAAUACGUGCCAGCAGCCGCGGUAAUACGUAUGGUGCAAGCGUUAUCCGGAUUUACUGGGUGUAAAGGGAGCGCAGGCGGAAGGCUAAGUCUGAUGUGAAAGCCCGGGGCUCAACCCCGGUACUGCAUUGGAAACUGGUCAUCUAGAGUGUCGGAGGGGUAAGUGGAAUUCCUAGUGUAGCGGUGAAAUGCGUAGAUAUUAGGAGGAACACCAGUGGCGAAGGCGGCUUACUGGACGAUAACUGACGCUGAGGCUCGAAAGCGUGGGG
This 728-nucleotide ribosomal RNA is filed under the name uncultured Lachnospiraceae bacterium. Its description in RNAcentral is "bacterial SSU rRNA". It matches the Rfam family "Bacterial small subunit ribosomal RNA", at positions 42 to 766 of the family's 1533-position model. The record is from RNAcentral. Lineage: Bacteria; Bacillati; Bacillota; Clostridia; Lachnospirales; Lachnospiraceae.